Molecule: ribosomal RNA, 698 nt
Filed under: Micromonospora sp.
Lineage: Bacteria; Bacillati; Actinomycetota; Actinomycetes; Micromonosporales; Micromonosporaceae
Description: bacterial SSU rRNA
Rfam family: Bacterial small subunit ribosomal RNA
Source: RNAcentral
CGAGCGGAAGGCCCUUCGGGGUACUCGAGCGGCGAACGGGUGAGUAACACGUGAGCAACCUGCCCUAGGCUUUGGGAUAACCCCGGGAAACCGGGGCUAAUACCGGAUAGGACCUUCGGACGCAUGUCUGGGGGUGGAAAGUUUUUCGGCCUGGGAUGGGCUCGCGGCCUAUCAGCUUGUUGGUGGGGUGAUGGCCUACCAAGGCGACGACGGGUAGCCGGCCUGAGAGGGCGACCGGCCACACUGGGACUGAGACACGGCCCAGACUCCUACGGGAGGCAGCAGUGGGGAAUAUUGCACAAUGGGCGGAAGCCUGAUGCAGCGACGCCGCGUGAGGGAUGACGGCCUUCGGGUUGUAAACCUCUUUCAGCAGGGACGAAGCGCAAGUGACGGUACCUGCAGAAGAAGCGCCGGCCAACUACGUGCCAGCAGCCGCGGUAAGACGUAGGGCGCGAGCGUUGUCCGGAUUUAUUGGGCGUAAAGAGCUCGUAGGCGGCUUGUCGCGUCGACUGUGAAAACCCGCGGCUCAACCGCGGGCCUGCAGUCGAUACGGGCAGGCUAGAGUUCGGUAGGGGAGACUGGAAUUCCUGGUGUAGCGGUGAAAUGCGCAGAUAUCAGGAGGAACACCGGUGGCGAAGGCGGGUCUCUGGGCCGAUACUGACGCUGAGGAGCGAAAGCGUGGGGGAGCGAACAGGAUU